AGAGAUUAGAGUUUGAUCAUGGCUCAGAACGAACGCUGGCGGCGUGGAUAAGACAUGCAAGUCGAGCGAGAUCUCCUUUGGUAGCAAUACCGAGGGAAGUCUAGCGGCGAACGGGUGCGUAACACGUGGACAAUCUGCCUUAAAGUGGGGGAUAGCUCGGCGAAAGCCGAAUUAAUACCGCAUGUGAUCAGGAAAGACAUCUUUCCGAAUUCAAAGACGGCGCAAGCUGUCGCUUUUUGAGGAGUCCGCGGCCUAUCAGCUAGUUGGUGAGGUAACGGCUCACCAAGGCUUUGACGGGUAGCUGGUCUGAGAGGACGACCAGCCACACUGGAACUGAGACACGGUCCAGACACCUACGGGUGGCAGCAGUCGAGAAUUUUUCUCAAUGGGGGAAACCCUGAAGGAGCGACGCCGCGUGGAGGAUGAAGGUCUUCGGGUUGUAAACUCCUGUCAUUUGGGAACAAGUCGUACGUAGUAACUAUACGUGCGUUGAUAGUACCAGAAGAGGAAGAGACGGCUAACUCUGUGCCAGCAGCCGCGGUAAUACAGAGGUCUC
Molecule: ribosomal RNA, 556 nt
Filed under: uncultured soil bacterium
Lineage: Bacteria
Description: bacterial SSU rRNA
Rfam family: Bacterial small subunit ribosomal RNA
Source: RNAcentral